RNAcentral lists this ribosomal RNA (731 nucleotides) under Pratylenchus vulnus (walnut meadow nematode). RNAcentral's name for it is "eukaryotic LSU rRNA". The stretch from base 313 to 466 matches the Rfam family "5.8S ribosomal RNA". The record is from RNAcentral. Lineage: Eukaryota; Metazoa; Nematoda; Chromadorea; Rhabditida; Pratylenchidae.
CGUAACAAGGUAGCUGUAGGUGAACCUGCUGCUGGAUCAUUACAUGUCAACCAAAUAAUGGUCAAAUACGAAACGUGAAAAGCUUGGUUGAAGAGCCCGCAUAUUCACUUGAUGGUGGUUAAUAGCGCAACGGCUAACGUUGGCGUCUCUAUGUUGCUGAGCAGUUGUCGUCGUCCGUGGCUGCAAUGAGGUGACAUGGUAGGACCAUAUGCAGAUGGCAUUUGGUUUAAGACUUAAUGAGCCCAAUGACUCUGGGCCGCCAACACCCAUUUUUUCAUAUACAUUUUUUUCACACUGAACAAAAAAAAAUUCUAGUCUUAUCGGCGGAUCACUCGGCUCGUAGGUCGAUGAAGAACGCAGCUAACUGCGAUAAAUAGUGCGAACUGCAGAAACAUUGAGCACAAAAGAUUCGAAUGCACAUUGCGCCAUUGGAGUCUCUUCCUUUGGCACGCCUUGUUCAGGGUCGUCAUCCAAAAACGCAACAUUUUUGCGUGAAAAUUCAGAAUACAAUUUGUAUAACUCGAGUGUGUGGAAAAAGACACUUGGUGCCACCAACAAUGCGGAUGUGAGAAGUAUGAGAAUACAUCGACUUUGAUCGUCAUGAAGGUGGAAGCGUCUACCUGCGCUUAGCUGGUGGCCAAAUGCCUAGCCAAUCAUGGCCAUUUUCAUAAUUUCGACCUGAACUCAGACGUGAGUACCCGCUGAACUUAAGCAUAUCAUUUAGCGGAGGA